Molecule: ribosomal RNA, 698 nt
Filed under: Bacillus sp. 1134(2011)
Lineage: Bacteria; Bacillati; Bacillota; Bacilli; Caryophanales; Bacillaceae
Description: bacterial SSU rRNA
Rfam family: Bacterial small subunit ribosomal RNA
Source: RNAcentral
GUGCUAUACAUGCAAGUCGAGCGAACUGAUUAGAAGCUUGCUUCUAUGACGUUAGCGGCGGACGGGUGAGUAACACGUGGGCAACCUGCCUGUAAGACUGGGAUAACUCCGGGAAACCGGAGCUAAUACCGGAUAACAUUUUCUCUUGCAUAAGAGAAAAUUGAAAGAUGGUUUCGGCUAUCACUUACAGAUGGGCCCGCGGUGCAUUAGCUAGUUGGUGAGGUAACGGCUCACCAAGGCAACGAUGCAUAGCCGACCUGAGAGGGUGAUCGGCCACACUGGGACUGAGACACGGCCCAGACUCCUACGGGAGGCAGCAGUAGGGAAUCUUCCGCAAUGGACGAAAGUCUGACGGAGCAACGCCGCGUGAGUGAUGAAGGCUUUCGGGUCGUAAAACUCUGUUGUUAGGGAAGAACAAGUACAAGAGUAACUGCUUGUACCUUGACGGUACCUAACCAGAAAGCCACGGCUAACUACGUGCCAGCAGCCGCGGUAAUACGUAGGUGGCAAGCGUUAUCCGGAAUUAUUGGGCGUAAAGCGCGCGCAGGCGGUUUCUUAAGUCUGAUGUGAAAGCCCACGGCUCAACCGUGGAGGGUCAUUGGAAACUGGGGAACUUGAGUGCAGAAGAGAAAAGCGGAAUUCCACGUGUAGCGGUGAAAUGCGUAGAGAUGUGGAGGAACACCAGUGGCGAAGGCGGC